RNAcentral lists this ribosomal RNA (473 nucleotides) under uncultured bacterium. RNAcentral describes it as "bacterial SSU rRNA". It matches the Rfam family "Bacterial small subunit ribosomal RNA", at positions 34 to 507 of the family's 1533-position model. The record is from RNAcentral.
CGCUGGCGGCGUGCUUAAUACAUGCAAGUCAACUUGACUUUAGAUAGCAAUAUCGAAAGUAGGGCGGCGCACGGGUGCGUAACGCGUAGGUAAUCUGCCCUGAGGUCUGACAUAACCCGUCGAAAGGCGGGCUAACAUCAGAUGAUAUAUAAUCACGACAUCGUGGAAAUAUCAAAUCUUCGGAGCCUUGGGAUGAGCCUGCGUCUGAUUAGGUAGUUGGCGGAGUAAUAGCCCACCAAGCCUACGAUCAGUAGCUGGUCUGAGAGGAUGAUCAGCCACACUGGAACUGAGACACGGUCCAGACUCCUACGGGAGGCAGCAGUAAGGAAUAUUGCUCAAUGGGGGAAACCCUGAAGCAGCAACGCCGCGUGAAGGAUGAAAUACUUUUGUAUGUAAACUUCUGUAAGAUGGGAAAAAUAUUCUCCUCGGGAGAAUUGAUUGUACCAUCAGAGUAAGCCCCGGCUAACUACGUG